This 497-nucleotide ribosomal RNA is filed under the name uncultured bacterium. Its description in RNAcentral is "partial 16S ribosomal RNA". It matches the Rfam family "Bacterial small subunit ribosomal RNA", at positions 28 to 507 of the family's 1533-position model. The record is from RNAcentral.
GAUGAACGCUGGCGGCGUGCCUAAUACAUGCAAGUCGAGCGAACAGACGAGGAGCUUGCUCCUUUGACGUUAGCGGCGGACGGGUGAGUAACACGUGGGUAACCUACCUAUAAGACUGGGAUAACUUCGGGAAACCGGAGCUAAUACCGGAUAAUAUUUCGAACCGCAUGGUUCGAUAGUGAAAGAUGGCUUUGCUAUCGCUUAUAGAUGGACCUGCGCCGUAUUAGCUAGUUGGUAAGGUAACGGCUUACCAAGGCAACGAUACGUAGCCGACCUGAGAGGGUGAUCGGCCACACUGGAACUGAGACACGGUCCAGACUCCUACGGGAGGCAGCAGUAGGGAAUCUUCCGCAAUGGGCGAAAGCCUGACGGAGCAACGCCGCGUGAGUGAUGAAGGUCUUCGGAUCGUAAAACUCUGUUAUUAGGGAAGAACAAACGUGUAAGUAACUGUGCACGUCUUGACGGUACCUAAUCAGAAAGCCACGGCUAACUACGUG